This 413-nucleotide ribosomal RNA is filed under the name uncultured prokaryote. RNAcentral's name for it is "bacterial SSU rRNA". It matches the Rfam family "Bacterial small subunit ribosomal RNA", at positions 505 to 918 of the family's 1533-position model. The record is from RNAcentral.
GUGUCAGCCGCCGCGGUAAUACGGAGGGGGCUAGCGUUGUUCGGAAUGACUGGGCGUAAAGCGCGCGUAGGCGGAUCGGAAAGUUGGGGGUGAAAUCCCGGGGCUCAACCUCGGAAUGGCCUUCAAAACUCCUGGUCUUGAGUUCGAGAGAGGUGAGUGGAAUUCCGAGUGUGGAGGUGAAAUUCGUAGAUAUUCGGAGGAACACCAGUGGCGAAGGCGGCUCACUGGCUCGACACUGACGCUGAGGUGCGAAAGCGGGGGGAGCAAACAGGAUUAGAUACCCUGGUAGUCCACGCCGUAAACGAUGAGUGCCAGACGUCGGGGGGCUUGCCCUUCGGUGUCACACCUAACGGAUUAAGCAUUCCGCCUGGGGAGUACGGUCGCAAGAUUAAAACUCAAAUGAAUUGGCGGGG